This 381-nucleotide ribosomal RNA is filed under the name uncultured bacterium. RNAcentral's name for it is "bacterial SSU rRNA". It matches the Rfam family "Bacterial small subunit ribosomal RNA", at positions 524 to 902 of the family's 1533-position model. The record is from RNAcentral.
UACGAAGGGGGCUAGCGUUGCUCGGAAUCACUGGGCGUAAAGGGUGCGUAGGCGGGUCUUUAAGUCAGGGGUGAAAUCCUGGAGCUCAACUCCAGAACUGCCUUUGAUACUGAAGAUCUUGAGUAUGGGAGAGGUGAGUGGAACUGCGAGUGUAGAGGUGAAAUUCGUAGAUAUUCGCAAGAACACCAGUGGCGAAGGCGGCUCACUGGCCCCAUAACUGACGCUGAGGCACGAAAGCGUGGGGGAGGCAAACAGGAUUAGAUACCCUGGUAGUCCACGCCGUAAACGAUGAAUGCCGGCCGUUCGUGGGUUUACUUACAAGUGGCGCAGCUAACGCUUUAAGCAUUCCGCCUGGGGAGUACGGUCGCAAGAUUAAAACUC